Molecule: long non-coding RNA, 588 nt
Organism: Anas platyrhynchos (mallard)
Lineage: Eukaryota; Metazoa; Chordata; Aves; Anseriformes; Anatidae
Source: RefSeq, a predicted model, not a curated record
ACAAGGAAUUGUAUUUGAGACACUUAUGGUUUCUUUUGAAUGUGAGGUAGCGUGUAAAGUAGAAGAAGAGUAAAAAAAUAUGACAUUCAGCCCUGCCUCCAUGGAUGAAUCUAAAUUUUCUAAAUCUCUAAAUCUGGGAUCUUAAGCAUCACUUUUUCAUAUCUGAAGUUACUAAAGAGACAUGUACACACCACCACAUGACAGGACGGAUUUACUCUCUAGGACUACCGUAGGUACCUCAGCUGGUUACAGGCCCGGAAAAGAAAACUGAACUAAACUUCAUGCCAAGAAAAAUAUUACAAAAAAUAAGCUGAGUUGUCUGCCCAGUGAAUCUACUCCAGUGGUCCUUUACUAAAUUAAAUGUGCUGAACUGAUGUCAGUGGAAGUAUUAACUCAGCAAUGAAGGCAGGACUGGACUUACCUAGUCAGAAGAAAGCCACCGAAAUGCCAUUCUACCAUUUGCUUGGGAGCACUGCUGAUGGAAGGUACAGAUGGCACGCAUAUGUAAAGAAACUGGGAGAUUCAAAGAUUUGCAUGACCCUACUCCUCUUCUGCUUACUGAAAACCCAUUAAAUGUUAAUCAUAAGA